RNAcentral lists this ribosomal RNA (497 nucleotides) under uncultured bacterium. Its description in RNAcentral is "partial 16S ribosomal RNA". It matches the Rfam family "Bacterial small subunit ribosomal RNA", at positions 28 to 507 of the family's 1533-position model. The record is from RNAcentral.
GAUGAACGCUGGCGGCGUGCCUAAUACAUGCAAGUCGAGCGAACAGACGAGGAGCUUGCUCCUCUGACGUUAGCGGCGGACGGGUGAGUAACACGUGGAUAACCUACCUAUAAGACUGGGAUAACUUCGGGAAACCGGAGCUAAUACCGGAUAAUAUAUUGAACCGCAUGGUUCAAUAGUGAAAGACGGUUUUGCUGUCACUUAUAGAUGGAUCCGCGCCGCAUUAGCUAGUUGGUAAGGUAACGGCUUACCAAGGCAACGAUGCGUAGCCGACCCGAGAGGGUGAUCGGCCACACUGGAACUGAGACACGGUCCAGACUCCUACGGGAGGCAGCAGUAGGGAAUCUUCCGCAAUGGGCGAAAGCCUGACGGAGCAACGCCGCGUGAAUGAUGAAGGUCUUCGGAUCGUAAAACUCUGUUAUUAGGGAAGAACAAAUGUGUAAGUAACUAUGCACGUCUUGACGGUACCUAAUCAGAAAGCCACGGCUAACUACGUG